GACGAACGCUGGCGGCGUGCUUAACACAUGCAAGUCGAACGGAAAGGCCCUGCUUUUGUGGGGUGCUCGAGUGGCGAACGGGUGAGUAACACGUGAGUAACCUGCCCUUGACUUUGGGAUAACUUCAGGAAACUGGGGCUAAUACCGGAUAGGAGCUCCUGCUGCAUGGUGGGGGUUGGAAAGUUUCGGCGGUUGGGGAUGGACUCGCGGCUUAUCAGCUUGUUGGUGGGGUAGUGGCUUACCAAGGGUUUGACGGGUAGCCGGCCUGAGAGGGUGACCGGCCACAUUGGGACUGAGGUACGGCCCAGACUCCUACGGGAGGCAGCAGUGGGGAAUAUUGCACAAUGGGCGGAAGCCUGAUGCAGCAGCGCCGCGUGCGUGAUGACGGCCUUCGGGUUGUAAACCGCUUUCGCCUGUGACGAAGCGUGAGUGACGGUAAUGGGUAAAGAAGCACCGGCUAACUACGUG
RNAcentral lists this ribosomal RNA (468 nucleotides) under uncultured bacterium. RNAcentral describes it as "partial 16S ribosomal RNA". It matches the Rfam family "Bacterial small subunit ribosomal RNA", at positions 28 to 507 of the family's 1533-position model. The record is from RNAcentral.